GCUCUUAUAUCUUUCUGAAAAGUUACUUGCAACUUAGUUUUGUCUUAUUUAAAUGUACUAAGAUAUCCGCACUAGAAUCUAGACCAGAUAUACUUGGUGAGAUUUUGUGUU
Molecule: long non-coding RNA, 111 nt
Organism: Xiphophorus hellerii (green swordtail)
Lineage: Eukaryota; Metazoa; Chordata; Actinopteri; Cyprinodontiformes; Poeciliidae
Exons: 2
Source: RefSeq, a predicted model, not a curated record